This 1553-nucleotide ribosomal RNA is filed under the name Escherichia coli. RNAcentral describes it as "bacterial SSU rRNA". It matches the Rfam family "Bacterial small subunit ribosomal RNA". Lineage: Bacteria; Pseudomonadati; Pseudomonadota; Gammaproteobacteria; Enterobacterales; Enterobacteriaceae. The record is from RNAcentral.
AAAUUGAAGAGUUUGAUCAUGGCUCAGAUUGAACGCUGGCGGCAGGCCUAACACAUGCAAGUCGAACGGUAACAGGAAGCAGCUUGCUGCUUCGCUGACGAGUGGCGGACGGGUGAGUAAUGUCUGGGAAACUGCCUGAUGGAGGGGGAUAACUACUGGAAACGGUAGCUAAUACCGCAUAACGUCGCAAGACCAAAGAGGGGGACCUUCGGGCCUCUUGCCAUCGGAUGUGCCCAGAUGGGAUUAGCUAGUAGGUGGGGUAACGGCUCACCUAGGCGACGAUCCCUAGCUGGUCUGAGAGGAUGACCAGCCACACUGGAACUGAGACACGGUCCAGACUCCUACGGGAGGCAGCAGUGGGGAAUAUUGCACAAUGGGCGCAAGCCUGAUGCAGCCAUGCCGCGUGUAUGAAGAAGGCCUUCGGGUUGUAAAGUACUUUCAGCGGGGAGGAAGGGAGUAAAGUUAAUACCUUUGCUCAUUGACGUUACCCGCAGAAGAAGCACCGGCUAACUCCGUGCCAGCAGCCGCGGUAAUACGGAGGGUGCAAGCGUUAAUCGGAAUUACUGGGCGUAAAGCGCACGCAGGCGGUUUGUUAAGUCAGAUGUGAAAUCCCCGGGCUCAACCACGGGAACUGCAUCUGAUACUGGCAAGCUUGAGUCUCGUAGAGGGGGUAGAAUUCGGGUGUAGCGGUGAAAUGCGUAGAGAUCUGGAGGAAUACCGGUGGCGAAGGCGGCCCCCUGGACGAAGACUGACGCUCAGGUGCGAAAGCGUGGGGAGCAAACAGGAUUAGAUACCCUGGUAGUCCACGCCGUAAACGAUGUCGACUUGGAGGUUGUGCCCUUGAGGCGUGGCUUCCGGAGCUAACGCGUUAAGUCGACCGCCUGGGGAGUACGGCCGCAAGGUUAAAACUCAAAUGAAUUGACGGGGGCCCGCACAAGCGGUGGAGCAUGUGGUUUAAUUCGAUGCAACGCGAAGAACCUUACCUGGUCUUGACAUCCACGGAAGUUUUCAGAGAUGAGAAUGUGCCUUCGGGAACCGUGAGACAGGUGCUGCAUGGCUGUCGUCAGCUCGUGUUGUGAAAUGUUGGGUUAAGUCCCGCAACGAGCGCAACCCUUAUCCUUUGUUGCCAGCGGUCCGGCCGGGAACUCAAAGGAGACUGCCAGUGAUAAACUGGAGGAAGGUGGGGAUGACGUCAAGUCAUCAUGGCCCUUACGACCAGGGCUACACACGUGCUACAAUGGCGCAUACAAAGAGAAGCGACCUCGCGAGAGCAAGCGGACCUCAUAAAGUGCGUCGUAGUCCGGAUUGGAGUCUGCAACUCGACUCCAUGAAGUCGGAAUCGCUAGUAAUCGUGGAUCAGAAUGCCACGGUGAAUACGUUCCCGGGCCUUGUACACACCGCCCGUCACACCAUGGGAGUGGGUUGCAAAAGAAGUAGGUAGCUUAACCUUCGGGAGGGCGCUUACCACUUUGUGAUUCAUGACUGGGGUGAAGUCGUAACAAGGUAACCGUAGGGGAACCUGCGGUUGGAUCACCUCCUUACCUUAAAGAAGC